GACGAACGCUGGCGGCGUGCUUAACACAUGCAAGUCGAACGGUGAAGGGGCCUGCUUUUGUGGGCCCUGGAUGAGUGGCGAACGGGUGAGUAACACGUGAGUAACCUGCCCCCUUCUUCUGGAUAACCGCAUGAAAGUGUGGCUAAUACGGGAUAUUCUGGGUCUGUCGCAUGAUGGGUCUGGGAAAGAUUGCGCCUUUGGGUGUUUUUGGUGGGGGAUGGGCUCGCGGCCUAUCAGCUUGUUGGUGGGGUGAUGGCCUACCAAGGCGGUGACGGGUAGCCGGCCUGAGAGGGUGGACGGUCACACUGGGACUGAGACACGGCCCAGACUCCUACGGGAGGCAGCAGUGGGGAAGAUUGCACAAUGGGCGCAAGCCUGAUGCAGCGACGCCGCGUGAGGGAUGGAGGCCUUCGGGUUGUAAACCUCUUUCGCCAGUGAAGCAGGCCUGCUCCUUGUGGGUGGGUUGACGGUAGCUGGAUAAGAAGCGCCGGCUAACUACGUG
RNAcentral lists this ribosomal RNA (502 nucleotides) under uncultured bacterium. RNAcentral describes it as "partial 16S ribosomal RNA". It matches the Rfam family "Bacterial small subunit ribosomal RNA", at positions 28 to 507 of the family's 1533-position model. The record is from RNAcentral.